This is a long non-coding RNA of Photinus pyralis (common eastern firefly), 1000 nucleotides long. RefSeq lists it as uncharacterized. The transcript has 4 exons. The record is from RefSeq and is a predicted model, not a curated record. NCBI's taxonomy places the organism in Eukaryota, Metazoa, Arthropoda, Insecta, Coleoptera, Lampyridae.
GCCCAGAACUAAUCAGAAUUUUUGUAGCCAAUUUGAUAUAGAAAACACUCCAGUCGUAAUAGCAGAUAACACUACACUGUCUAGUACUGUCGACACGAGAGCUGACAAAAUAGUCUUGGAAAGCAUUAUUAAAGAGCAUUGCCAAAAAAUUGAGAGAAUGUUUGGUUCGAUCAAUUUAAAUUUAAAAAACAUUAACUCCAGACUGGAAAAAUUAGAAAAAAAUGCUCCCGCCUUGAAUGAAGAAGAUACGGUUAUUCAAGACAAUUUGCCAUUAAGGACAAUUGAGGAAAUCAACUCUUUUGAAAAUUUAGUAAAGACCAACAGAGAAGCAGCAAUUUUAUUUGUACGGAAAAUAGGAAAUAUAUUUCAAACACUGGUGGGAAUUGCCCAAAGGACAAUGUUGUGCGACUAUUACGGAAAAUAUUCACAAAUGAAUGCGCAAUGAAGUGUUCGUGGAUGGGGCAUCGGAAUAAUUUUGGAGUUUCCAAAUUAACCAUCAUGAGCAUUGUAAAUGCUGUUGUUCUAUUAGCAUUUCCGCAACUGAAAGAACAAGAGUUUGAAACGUUUUGCGGAGAAUGGCUUCGUUUCGCCAAACAAAGAUUCACCAGAGAAACCAAAGGCGCAGCAGCGAGAAAUAAUUAAGAUAUGGUCGUUUUAUAGAAUUUUAUUUUUAAAUAGUGGAUUAAUGAUUAUACAGGGUGGCCCAUUAGUACGUGGGUGGAAGAUUAUGGGUUUAUUUACGCACAUAUUUCAUUGUCGGGGCAUGUUGAAGGACUCUUAAGGCUACAACGUAAAAAUAUUUUUAACAAAAUUGCAACUGUUAGGUAUACAGGGUGAUUUAUAUCACAAUUGCAUUUUUUUAAAAUAGAACCCAUACCUAUUAUUACAAAAUUUCAAUUCCUUGGUCAAUUUUAGUGUGACUUUAUGUUUCACACAGGAUAUCUAAAAUCAGUUGUUUAACCGCAAUUCGUGAUUUUUUCAAAAAGAACUACCCUUUUUU